UACGUAUGUCACAAGCGUUAUCCGGAUUUAUUGGGCAUAAAGGGCAUCUAGGCGGCUUUGUAAGUCCGAUGUGAAAAUGCGGGGCUCAACCCCGUAUUGCGUUGGAAACUACUUAGCUAGAGUAUUGGAGAGGUAGGCGGAACUACAUGUGUAGAGGUGAAAUUCGUAGAUAUAUGUAGGAAUGCCGAUGACGAAGGUAGCUUACUGGACAAUUACUGACGCUGAAGUGCGAAAGCUAGGGGAGCGAACAGG
This 252-nucleotide ribosomal RNA is filed under the name uncultured bacterium. RNAcentral describes it as "partial 16S ribosomal RNA". It matches the Rfam family "Bacterial small subunit ribosomal RNA", at positions 524 to 776 of the family's 1533-position model. The record is from RNAcentral.